UACCUAGCGGCGGACGGGUGAGUAAUGCUUAGGAAUCUGCCUAUUAGUGGGGGACAACAUUCCGAAAGGAAUGCUAAUACCGCAUACGUCCUACGGGAGAAAGCAGGGGACCUUCGGGCCUUGCGCUAAUAGAUGAGCCUAAGUCGGAUUAGCUAGUUGGUGGGGUAAAGGCCUACCAAGGCGACGAUCUGUAGCGGGUCUGAGAGGAUGAUCCGCCACACUGGGACUGAGACACGGCCCAGACUCCUACGGGAGGCAGCAGUGGGGAAUAUUGGACAAUGGGGGGAACCCUGAUCCAGCCAUGCCGCGUGUGUGAAGAAGGCCUUUUGGUUGUAAAGCACUUUAAGCGAGGAGGAGGCUACUAGUAUUAAUACUACUGGAUAGUGGACGUUACUCGCAGAAUAAGCACCGGCUAACUCUGUGCCAGCAGCCGCGGUAAUACAGAGGGUGCGAGCGUUAAUCGGAUUUACUGGGCGUAAAGCGUGCGUAGGCGGCUGAUUAAGUCGGAUGUGAAAUCCCUGAGCUUAACUUAGGAAUUGCAUUCGAUACUGGUCAGCUAGAGUAUGGGAGAGGAUGGUAGAAUUCCAGGUGUAGCGGUGAAAUGCGUAGAGAUCUGGAGGAAUACCGAUGGCGAAGGCAGCCAUCUGGCCUAAUACUGACGCUGAGGUACGAAAGCAUGGGGAGCAAACAGGAUUAGAUACCCUGGUAGUCCAUGCCGUAAACGAUGUCUACUAGCCGUUGGGGCCUUUGAG
RNAcentral lists this ribosomal RNA (752 nucleotides) under uncultured bacterium. RNAcentral describes it as "bacterial SSU rRNA". It matches the Rfam family "Bacterial small subunit ribosomal RNA", at positions 89 to 836 of the family's 1533-position model. The record is from RNAcentral.